Molecule: long non-coding RNA, 519 nt
Organism: Nicotiana tabacum (common tobacco)
Lineage: Eukaryota; Viridiplantae; Streptophyta; Magnoliopsida; Solanales; Solanaceae
Source: RefSeq, a predicted model, not a curated record
GAAGACACACAUCAUAUGAAAUCUUCCGUCUCUCACUAAGAACCCACGCCUCUUAAGGUUUAACCUAGAAUCCAAAAUCGACCAAAAUCUAUGUCCUGUUCAGGCGAAGGAAGACCGAUUCCGGCGAAGGACGUCCACUUCGGCUAAUGUAAGGCGAAAUCCGAUGUUGGCUGUCAGUGUUUUCUCCCUGUUCGGUGUUUGUAUGGAAUUUCGAUGUUUUGCUGAAAAUUUGUUUGGCUACUUCACCGAUUUUCUUUCUCUGAUAUACCAGCUUCUCAGUUUAAGGAACUUUUUAAAUAUUGGAACUCUGAAAAACUCCAGGUGCAGCGAUUGCGGAUGAAAGCAACCUUGACUGUUGUUGAUAGUUGUUAGACUUUCUAUUAUCAUUUUCAAUGAUAUUUUAGUUUUGAAUUUUUUGGAUGCAAACACAUCUAUUUUGACUUUUGAAUUGUUGAUCAGACAAUGUAUUCAUAUUUUGUUUUGGCAUAUGGAUAAUGCUAGUUGGAUAUUUAUAUUUUA